CACGUAACCGCAGGUAAGUGACGCACGUAGAAGCUUGCGGUUUUCAGAUUUUAUUUCGCAGCCCCGAAAACAGGCAGAGGCUCGCUCGAGGAAAUGUUUAAAUGGUGUCGCACCGCAGUAGAGGAGCGGCCGGAAAUGCGACUGAGCCGAGGCUACCAACGUUUGUUUCGUAUUCAUGGAUCGGCGGCGAGCCAUUUUCAUAAAUCUUCCCGCGAAAUUUGAAUCGAAAGGGACGGAAUUAGAGGGAGCAGCCAGAUGAAGGGAAAAAGAAUGAAUGCAUGCAGGAAUAAAUGAACGCGUGUGCUGCUGAAUUAAUCACUUUUCGACAAGAAGGACAGAGAAAAAGAGACACAGGAAAGAUAAAUGAAAUGUAUAGGAGAGGAAGAGAAUCAGGAAAAGGAAGAAGGUCGCUCUUCAUGAGGAACCAAGGCAAAAUAGCGUCGUAACCGGAAGAGAUUCAGUGGAAAUUGAAAAAGAUAUCCUCUUAUAAAUGGUCGAUCCCUGUGAACCGUAAUUGACCAGCCCUAUAGCGACCGUAGGGAAGAGAGGCAGACGGAAAGGAAAAAAUGGGUGUGGGUGGAGGCUUCGAAUUAGCAUUACCACGCGAUUAGCAUUUAAACGACAUGAACGUUCGUUACGCGUGCCCGUGGCAACGUGCUCGUGCGUACUUACCGCGCGCGUACACGAACGAAACACGAACCGGAUAAAAACGCACACUUACGUAUAUCCGGCGCAGCGGACGGGAUAUACGAGACCCGCCAUUCAUCCAAUAUGGACGUACGAUAUCAGUUUUGCAAGUGGCGCUACACCGAUAAAUGCACCCACCGCGCCGUUUGCAAUUCGACGGGGCGAAUAAAUUCUCGACCGGUCCCGAUUCAUUUCGACAUUCAAAUUGUAAUAUGUUUGUAUACGCCCCAUACAUAUUUAUGCAUCUACGGGUAGACCGUGGCCGAUAUGGGCACCCAGCGCGCAGUUGCCAAUAGGCUGCCCGUUGAGUGUUGGUUAAAACCUGUCGGCGUAUUGCUAAUUGUCGACAUGCAUUGUCCGCUGGAAAUCUUCCAUCGAUCCUCGUUUGCAUUUCUCCAUUGCACGUGAGGGAAUGUGCGUACGUGUGAUGAGGAAAAUAUCGAGGAAUAAAUAAGAAGGAGAAGCGAAACUGGUUUGUCGUGUGGCUGGAUCCGCUAUAAGGAUAAAACUGGUAUGAUUAUAAUUGAGGAUAGUGAGACGUGCGUACGUACGUAUGACGUAGUUACUCAUUCGAAUUGAUUAUAACUCUUUAGUCACUUUGCUUUUUAUACACAUAUUACGUAAUUGAAAAGAGUAUAAAAAUAAAUAAUAAUUCCACGAAUCAAUAAUCAAUUAAUUUCGAAUUCAGCCAUAAUCCGAUACGUAAUCAUUUUCGUGAGUCAUUGCAAAUCCCUCACGAGAGAACUAUCAUUCUCAAUGGAAGUCUCGAUCAAAUUACGUCGCACAAAGAAAACUGUUCGGCGAAAAAUACUGCAGGACGCGUAAGCUCGUAUUAAUUUUUUUUAAUCGGAGCUUUGGAAAGACGAUAAAAAUAAGCAUCGAAGGACGGUUAAGCGAAGAAAACGAGAUGUAUAAUGGGGGAUAAGGGGGGGGAUAAAAAUAGACGUCGCAGAUUUUCCCU
Long non-coding RNA from Ceratina calcarata, 1648 nucleotides. RefSeq lists it as uncharacterized. The transcript has 3 exons. Lineage: Eukaryota; Metazoa; Arthropoda; Insecta; Hymenoptera; Apidae. The record is from RefSeq and is a predicted model, not a curated record.